RNAcentral lists this ribosomal RNA (433 nucleotides) under uncultured bacterium. RNAcentral's name for it is "partial 16S ribosomal RNA". It matches the Rfam family "Bacterial small subunit ribosomal RNA", at positions 28 to 507 of the family's 1533-position model. The record is from RNAcentral.
AACGAACGCUGGCGGCAUGCCUAACACAUGCAAGUCGAACGAUACCGCCGGGUCUUUUUGCGCAGGUGUGCGUGAGGCGCGGGAGGGUGCGCUAAGGGUCGGUAUCCCUCCCCGAACGGGGUGCUAACACCGGGUAAUUGCGGCUAACAAGAGAUAUUUCGGCUUUGGCUGGGCCCGGGUUGGGUUAGGUUGUUGGUACGGUGAGAGCCGAGCAAGGCGACGAUCCGUAGCUUGUCGGAGAGGAUGCACAGCCAGGCUGGGACUGGGACACGGCCCAGACUCCUACGGGAGGCAGCAGUGGGGAAUAUUGGACAGUGGGCGAAAGCCUGAUCCAGCACUGCCGCUUGAGUGCUGCAGGCGUUAGGGUUGUAAAGCUCUUUUACCCGGGAUUAUAAUGACGGUACCGGGAGAAUAAGCGCCGGCUAACUACGUG